This is an RNA transcript of Vicia villosa (hairy vetch), 3172 nucleotides long. RefSeq lists it as uncharacterized. The record is from RefSeq and is a predicted model, not a curated record. The transcript has 3 exons. NCBI's taxonomy places the organism in Eukaryota, Viridiplantae, Streptophyta, Magnoliopsida, Fabales, Fabaceae.
UUCUUAUAAAAGAAAACUUAAUCUAGAGUAAAUAUUUGUGAAAAAUUAUAGGCAAUUUGUCACAGAAUGACGUGGGACUGGUUCAUCUCUAUGUCACACGCUGGGUGCUCUCUAUCACUCUUUUCAGCGAGUCUGUGCAUGUAACUCGACCUCUGUUCUUGUCCAGUUUCCACCAAUGCUAAAAUCGGCAUUCACUCCCAUUUACUGGGUGCUAUUGCCCAAACCAAAAUCACCUAAACUUUCAUCACAUUUAAUCACCAACACCUUUUCAAACAGCACACCACAUGUUCGACAAAAUUCCUCUACCAAACACAACCCCACCAUCACCCCUUCUUCCGCCUAUAUUCACCUUCCUUUCUGUAGAAAACGUUGCCAUUACUGUGACUUCCCGAUAGUAGCUCUCGGCUCCGCUUCAACCCAAACACACGAAGACCCGCGUGUUGUUAACUACAUUCAAUGGCUCUGCAGAGAAAUCAAUGCAACCAAAGUUGAAGAGAAACUGGGCUCCGAGACGCCCCUUCAAACGGUCUUUUUUGGAGGUGGGACACCCUCUUUGGUUCCUCCAAUUAUGGUUUCCUCGGUUUUGGAGACACUGAAGAUGAAAUUUGGGUUGAGUGAAAGUGCUGAAAUUUCAAUGGAAAUGGACCCGGGUACGUUUGAUUAUAAGAAGAUGCAAGAGAUGAUGUUAUUGGGAGUGAACAGAGUUUCUUUGGGAGUUCAAGCGUUUCAGGAGAAGCUUUUGAAGAGUUGUGGCAGGGCACAUGGUUUAGAAGAGGUUCACGAGGCUAUUGAUAUUGUCAAAAAAUGUGGGGUUGAGAAUUGGAGUAUUGAUCUUAUUGCUUCACUGCCUCAUCAGACUAGUGACAUGUGGGAGGAAAGUCUGAGACUCACCAUUGAGGCACAGCCUACUCAUGUUUCUGUUUAUGAUUUGCAAAUUGAACAAGGCACAAAAUUUGGAAGACUGUAUGCACCUGGGGAAUUUCCACUGCCUUCUGAGACACAAUCAGCUGAUUUCUAUAAGAUGGCUUCAAGGAUGCUUGGUGAUGCAAGUUAUAACCAUUACGAAAUCAGCAGCUACUGUAAGAAUGGGUAUGAAUGCAGACACAACUUUACCUAUUGGAAGAACAAGCCUUUCUAUGCCUUUGGCCUUGGCUCUACUAGUUUUGUUGGUGGCUUAAGGUUUGCAAGACCCAGGAAGUUGAACGAGUACAUGAAAUUUGUGGAAAAUCUGGAAAAUGGAUCAGUAAAUAGCUCAUCUGAUGAAAACAUUAAUACCAAGGACACUGCCCUGGAUGUUGUGAUGCUGUCCCUGAGAACUGCAAGAGGUCUAGAUUUGAAGCGUUUCCAAGAAUCAUUUGGAAGCUCUCUGGUUUAUUCUCUAUUUGAGGUUUAUAAACCUUAUGUUGAGAGUGGACACAUGGUUUUCUUGGACGAGCAAAGGAGAGCCAUUAGAAUAGAGGACAUCAACAAUUCUCUUUUGUAUGAUAUUAACUCAGAAAGGAGAGUGGCCUAUAUGAGGCUAAGUGAUCCAAAUGGUUUCCUUUUAUCAAAUGAGUUAAUAGCUCUUGCUUUUGGGGUUAUUGACUCUUGGAAGGAUUAUCCUUCUGCACUACAAGAAGCUACUUGAAAGCAUGAUUAUCUACCUGUUAAUACAACACAAGUUAUAGCUGAUGUUGUACAGCAAUUAUUUUGUGGCUAGUUUGACGAGAUGGAUACUCAAAGACAAACACAAAGAUUCCCCCAUCCAUACAUUAUUCCAUUGACAUAGGUUCUUUGAAUGAGUUCUUUGGUUUUAAGGGAUGGAAGUUGAUUUUGCUUGUGCCAGAUUUUUAUGUGUAAGAUUGUAGAUGCCUGGCAUUUAUGGUUAAGUGGACUCAUGGGAUUUUUCUUCCUUCCUUAUGGUUUCUAGUUGUAUUUGCAAUGGUUGUGUUGGUCUACAGGAAUUAAAGUUAUUUAGUAGCAAGCAUGACGUGAAUAAGGGAAAAUAUGGGAUUUUAAGUUGCCACAAGUGGAAUAAGAAAGCACUGAAAUGUCGGGCAGUCUGAUGUAAUAAUGUCGAUAUAGAGAUUUUGGGCGCCUGGAACAAUGUGGCCAACUGGGCGUAGUGGUUUUCAUUUAUUUGUUUACCAAGAUGAUGCAAGUAGAAUAUUGGUCCCUUUAUAUGAAGCUAAUUUUUGUUCUAUGAGCUCUAGUGUCUUUGUUGAUUGUGCCUGGUUGUCGUUUUGCCUGCAAAAGGAUCUAUGAACUUCAAUUAGUAUUUUUCUUCUUCCACUUCUUUCUUCAUUGUUUCUUGUUGCUUGUAAAGCCAGUGAUUACAAAUUUGUAUUGGCAAAUGGCAGUCCAUGAACAUUGAAUGCGCAUUGGAAAAGCAUGUUAUCUCUUUUCUGUCUUUCUUUUGUUAUGUUUUUAUAUAGUUUUCCCUGUAAAAGCUAUAUGAUGUGUACUAGUUUAACUAGUUUCCUCCUUUUCUAUAUUUCUUUUGCCACAGAUUAUCUCUCAAAUAUCAUUAGUACUAUUCAAUCUCGUUCUUCUUCUUCUUAUGUAUUCUGGAGGAACAGAAAAAAAACUUCAGUUGGUCUUUCUGUUUUCGUCAUCUCAAAUUUGCCAAGUCCUUGUUAAAAUAUUACAAAAUGUGAUGUAUGAUCUACAUAUCAAUAAUAUUUUAGGGAGGCUAUAUAACCCUGAAAGUUUGAUUCUGUUGCAAAAUUGAAAUGAACUUUAAAAUCUUCUUUAACCCGUAAAUCAUGACUAAUCCGGUCAUCGCACUAGUCGACAUGACACAAUUCCAGCUUCCCAUUUGUUUCAUGGUAUGGUUAUCAUAUAAAUGGACUUAGAAUAUAAUGGUGUCACGAGUCUGUUUGUGUGUUAAUUUCAACUAAACAGAAGGAUUACUUAGUGAAAAAUUAUUAGUUUUGGAAUAAAUCAAAAGGUUAUGUAAAGUUGUCCUCAUUGUUGCAAUUUAGUAAUUUGACUUUGGAUAACUUAUGUGGAAUUAUGAAUUUGAAACUUGAGUCACUACAUUUCUCCAACCUUGCAAAUGUUAAUAUGAGUGAGUGAUUGUCACCAGGCCAAUAACAAAAUUUUUUCUUCUAUAAAGUCCAUUGCGUCAAUAUGCAAAAUGGUCAAAGUUCAAUAUGGUUGUUGUAUGGAUUUCUCCCUUAUUUUUUAUUUG